UGCUAUUAAUGAUUCCAGCACACCAAAACGUCGCUGCAUUCCAGCCAAUCGUUCAUCCAUUUGUGCCAUUCGUUGAUUCAGUUGCAUCAACGUCCUAAAAAUAUAAUCACGAUCCUCGGGACUUAAGUCAUUGCUGGCCAUGGUAGGCUCUAAUACCAAAUAAUGUAGGACCAAUCCUAAACUAGCCCAAUCAGAAUCAUCAAACAGUAGG
Telopea speciosissima is the source of this 211-nucleotide long non-coding RNA. RefSeq lists it as uncharacterized. The transcript has 4 exons. The record is from RefSeq and is a predicted model, not a curated record. NCBI's taxonomy places the organism in Eukaryota, Viridiplantae, Streptophyta, Magnoliopsida, Proteales, Proteaceae.